Molecule: unclassified non-coding RNA, 329 nt
Filed under: soil metagenome
Description: partial contains 5.8S ribosomal RNA, internal transcribed spacer 2, and large subunit ribosomal RNA
Rfam family: 5.8S ribosomal RNA (bases 1-120)
Source: RNAcentral
GAUGAAGAACGUAGCGAAAUGCGAUAAGUAGUGUGAAUUGCAGAAUUCAGUGAAUCAUCGAAUCUUUGAACGCACAUUGCGCCCCUUGGUAUCCCGAGGGGCAUGCCUGUUCGAGCGUCAUUUCACCACUCAAGCCUGGCUUGGUGUUGGGCGACGUCCUCUUUGGGGACGCGCCUCGAAACGCUCGGCGGCGUGGCACCGGCUUUAAGCGUAGCAGAAUCUUUCGCUUUGGAAGUCGGGGCCCCGUCUGCCGGAAGACCUGCUCGCAAGGUUGACCUCGUAUCAGGCAGGGAUACCCGCUGAACUUAAGCAUAUCAAUAAGCGGAGGA